Molecule: ribosomal RNA, 1521 nt
Filed under: Candidatus Ornithobacterium hominis
Lineage: Bacteria; Pseudomonadati; Bacteroidota; Flavobacteriia; Flavobacteriales; Weeksellaceae
Description: bacterial SSU rRNA
Rfam family: Bacterial small subunit ribosomal RNA
Source: RNAcentral
ACAACGGAGAGUUUGAUCCUGGCUCAGGAUGAACGCUAGCGGGAGGCUUAACACAUGCAAGCCGAGGGGUAUUUAAUUUUCGGAUUAGAGAGACCGGCGAACGGGUGCGUAACGCGUAUGUAACUUGCCCUUAUCGGGAGGAUAGCCCGAGGAAACUCGGAUUAAUACUCCAUAAUAAUAAUUAUGGCAUCAUAAAUAUUUAAAAGAUUUAUCGGAUAAGGAUAGGCAUGCGUCAGAUUAGUUAGUUGGUAGUGUAGAGGACUACCAAGGCGAUGAUCUGUAGGGGGCCUGAGAGGGUGAACCCCCACACUGGUACUGAGACACGGACCAGACUCCUACGGGAGGCAGCAGUGAGGAAUAUUGGACAAUGGGUGGAAGCCUGAUCCAGCCAUCCCGCGUGCAGGAAGACGGCCCUAUGGGUUGUAAACUGCUUUUGUAUAGGGAUAAAUCAUCUUACGAGAUAGGAUGUUGAAGGUACUAUACGAAUAAGCAUCGGCUAACUCCGUGCCAGCAGCCGCGGUAAUACGGAGGAUGCGAGCGUUAUCCGGAUUCAUUGGGUUUAAAGGGUCCGUAGGCGGGCUAAUAAGUCAGUGGUGAAAUCUCACAGCUCAACUGUGAAAUUGCCAUUGAUACUGUUAGUCUUGAGUGAGUUUGAUGUUGCUGGAAUGUGUAGUGUAGCGGUGAAAUGCAUAGAUAUUACACGGAACACCGAAUGCGAAGGCAGGUAACAAAGACUUAACUGACGCUGAUGGACGAAGGCGUGGGGAGCGAACAGGAUUAGAUACCCUGGUAGUCCACGCAGUAAACGAUGCUAACUCGUUUUCGGGGUGAAGAACUUCGGAGACCAAGCGAAAGUGAUAAGUUAGCCACCUGGGGAGUACGUUCGCAAGAAUGAAACUCAAAGGAAUUGACGGGGGCCCGCACAAGCGGUGGAGCAUGUGGUUUAAUUCGAUGAUACGCGAGGAACCUUACCAAGGCUUAAAUGCAUUUUGACGUACCCUGAAAGGGGUAUUUCUUCGGACAGGAUGCAAGGUGCUGCAUGGCUGUCGUCAGCUCGUGCCGUGAGGUGUUAGGUUAAGUCCUGCAACGAGCGCAACCCUUAUCUUUAGUUGCCAGCGUUUAAAGACGGGGACUCUAGAGAGACUGCCAACGCAAGUUGAGAGGAAGGUGGGGACGACGUCAAGUCAUCACGGCCCUUACGUCUUGGGCUACACACGUGCUACAAUGGUCGGUACAGAGGGCAGCUACUAUGUGAAUAGGUGCGAAUCUUGAAAGCCGAUCUCAGUUCGGAUUGGAGUCUGCAACUCGACUCUAUGAAGCUGGAAUCGCUAGUAAUCGCAAAUCAGCCAUGUUGCGGUGAAUACGUUCCCGGGCCUUGUACACACCGCCCGUCAAGCCAUGGAAGCUGGGGGUACCUGAAGUUGGUGACCGUCAAAGGAGCUACCUAGGGUAAAACCAGUAACUGGGGCUAAGUCGUAACAAGGUAGCCGUACCGGAAGGUGCGGCUGGAACAUCUCUUUU